Molecule: ribosomal RNA, 198 nt
Filed under: Triticum aestivum (bread wheat)
Lineage: Eukaryota; Viridiplantae; Streptophyta; Magnoliopsida; Poales; Poaceae
Description: partial small subunit ribosomal RNA
Source: RNAcentral
AUGAUCCUCUCCACCAAGGAUAAAGAUGGGAAGGAAUCGACUGAGCCGAACCCUCUCUACCCCAUCUGGGCGCGAAAGGACCAGCAGGUGCUCAGGUACCUGCUGAACAACCUCACUAAGGAGGUGCUCGUGCAGGUGACCGCAAUCACCACGACGCGCGAGCUCUGGACGGCACUAUCGGGGAUGUUCUCCUCGUAG